This is a long non-coding RNA of Hylaeus volcanicus, 4504 nucleotides long. RefSeq lists it as uncharacterized. The transcript is spliced from 7 exons. The record is from RefSeq and is a predicted model, not a curated record. NCBI's taxonomy places the organism in Eukaryota, Metazoa, Arthropoda, Insecta, Hymenoptera, Colletidae.
CGGUGCAUGACGAAAAGAAUAUACGAGAAAUGUCAGAAUGACAUAAUCGAUGCCUUCGAAGUGGCCGCACAACGCGAAAUGGAAGAUGCAGGAAGAGAGGAACAAGAAUUAGCCAGAGCAAGGGGCGAUAUAGUUCCAGGAACUGAUAUACCGUGGAUAUCAGUUAUCGCGGAUGGCAGCUGGAUGAAGAGGUCAUACCGCGGAGGUGAUUACAAUUCCCUUUCUGGGGUAGGAGCCAUUGUGGGAUACCACAUGAAAAAAGUAUUAUAUAUCAGCGUGAAAAAUAAAUUUUGUCUGAUUUGCCAAAGAGCGGCGAAGAACAUGGAAGAAGCGCGUGAGCAUCGAUGCUUUAAAAAUUGGGGUUGAAUUCGACUGGGAUGGAAAGUGCUGCUAUUGUGGAAGGAUUCAAGUGCAGCAUAGAAAUGCACGGCCUCAUCUACUCUAUACUUGUUGCCGAUGGCGAUAGCAGCGUGUACAAGAAGAUAUUGGACAAUGAUCCAUAUGAAAAGUACAUGGUGCGUGUACGAAAAAUAGAAUGCACCAAUCACCUGCUUCGCAAUUUCGGUAGAAAAAUUACCGAUAUUGUAACAAAAGGCCGCCACAAGGAGCUAAGAGCUAUCGUACAGCAGAAUGCUAUACGCCUACGUACAGGUAUCAAGAAAGCUGCAAAAUACCGAUCAAAAGAAAAAUUAAGACUUGUUGAACAAAUACAAAGAAGAUAUGAAAAAUGUACCGAGUCACGUUUUCGGGGAGCACAAGGACUGUCAGAAGUUAGCAUACUUUUGUAAGAAAUACUCUGACCCCGACAGAGUGAAUUAUGUUCCAAAGUUGAAAGAAGCCGGUAUAUAUCAAAAUAUCGAAGAAGCGAUGCAGCCACUUUUCGCUAAAGCUGAAAGUUUGCUGUACGGUCUGAAUAAUAAUGCUGUUGAAAGCUUUAAUAAUAUCAUUGCCAAAUUUAUCGGAGGUAAAAGAAUAAAUUUUGGACGAAGAGGCUCGUAUCAGGGCAGAGUCAACGCAGUCAAUGCUGUCGUCCAAUUCAACACGAAAGAGACGUUCAGCAAAUUGAGUAUGGCAAUGGAUAAAGAACCGACACCUAUCGUAAGGAAAAUGGAAGAAUGUCGGAAGCGUGCAGCAGAUAUGGUAAAGAAAUAUAAAAAAGAAGCCAAAAUAUCCCACUUAAAAAAUCAGCAACAAUCUUGCGACCAGGAUUACGGACCCAACGCAGACAAAUCCAAUAUGGAAGAUAUUGUAUAUUCUGCCGAGUAUAAAAGGCACAUGGAUAUACUCCAUGAGUGGCAAACGAUGCGGCACACAAUAGAAGCAGAAACUCGCGAUCAAGCCGAAAGCGAUAAAUGGAUAGCUUAUAGAAGAAAAUUAUUAACCGCAUCCAAUUUCGGCAAGAUAUGCCGAUUACGAAAAGAUACACCGCGAGCAAAUACUUUGAAAAGUAUAAUGUAUCCGCAAAUACCGAAUCUACGUUGCCUACAAUACGGAAGGGAGAACGAGGCAAACGCCUUGAGGCAACUGGAAGUCGAAUUAGGAAUUCAUAUUCGGCCAUGUGGCCUCUUCAUCGAUGCCAUUGUGCCUUUAUAAGUGCAACUCCUGAUGGCAUCGUAGACGAUGAUACCAUCGUCGAAGUAAAGUGCCCGGAAUCGGCCAAGGAUUUAUCGCCUGCUGAAGCAAUACAGCAGUUACCUGCGAUACGGCGUAUCUUUCGAGGUGAUGAGGUCAAUACAAAUCACCAUUAUUAUUAUCAAGUGCAAGGACAGCUGCACAUAACAAAUAGACAAUAUUGUAUAUUUGGUUUAUGGACGCCGAAAGGAGUAAAAAUUAUACAAGUACCAAAAAAUGAUCAAUUCUGGGCAACACAGAUGGAAGAAAAACUCAAGAAGUUUUAUGAGGACUCCAUGUUGCCAGAGAUCGUAGAUAGCAGAUUUAAUCGACACCAGCCGAUUAGAGAACCUCCGUAUGUAAAAAGAGGAGGAGAAUCUACGAGUACAAAAUGAAGUACGUAUAAUGCACCGGCGAGUGCAUUAAGCGCAUGAUAACAGCUGAAUAACAAUGUACAAGUCCACCGACGAGUGCAUUGAGCGCAUGAUAACAGCUGAAUAACAAUGUACAAGUCCACCGACGAGUGCAUUGAGCGCAUAGGAGAAGCUGUGGAAGAAACAAUGUAACAAACUGUAAAUACAGAAAUAUAUAAAAUGUGAGUUUGCAGAGUGAAGAGGACCGUCUAUGACGGGGGUGGUGGUGGGACUCUUCAAACUCUCCUAAUAAUUUUUACUUGCAGCUAUUCUUUCAGUUCAAUGGGAAAUGACAUGUAUAAAAGUAAAUUUGCUUCAGUUAUUUCCACUGGCUAGUAUCAAAGACGAAAACCACGCUGUAUGAAGCAAGGAAAGAAAGCAAGUAUUCGAAAUGCUUGGAUACAGAUAAGUAACUAACAUACACACAUUUACAGUCUUAUUGUCUAAAAAUUGAUUACAAUUCGUUCUAACUUUUUCUGACAGGUUCUAUGACCAGAAACUACAAUCGAAAGGAGUCAGCGAUACUGCAACAAAAUAUUUAUCAGAGAUAGGAAACACUCGUAAUGGGUUCUUCAGGAUACGUAGAGUGUAUAGCAUGAUACUUGAAGACAUGUAUUUGUCGUCCGAUGGAAAUAGUUGUAUUAAUUGAAAAUCACCACAUAUGCAUAAAGGAAAGAAAGUUUUACAACCAGUAACUGCAAUCGAAAGGGGUCAGUGCCGUUGCAACAAAAUAUUUCUCAGAAAUAGUCAACACUAGUAAUGAAGUCUUCAGAAAAUGGACUACUAUCAAUAGUGAAAAUUGUGCUCUAUCAGGAAAGGAAAGGAAGCAGGUCUUUGCAGUAUAAGCAUAAAGGUUCUAUGACAAUAAAGGGGUCAGUAUCAUUGCAAGAAAUAUUUAAGAGAAAUAGGAAACUAAUAGUGGAUUCAUCAGGAAGUAUGAAACUAAGGUGUACAGCGUGACAGUUCAAGAGAUCCGGUAUCGUCUCAACCUAAUUUUAUACAUAAUAUUUGUUCAAUAACUGCUUUCUACAUAGGACGUUUAAUAAUCUUCUAAUAAGUGUAUAGCAUUCUUGUUUGCUGUAGUAUUUUGUUAAUAAAAAAAGGUUUGUACUUUACAGGUCAGAAUUUAAAUCUCUUUUUGUCAGUGUUUCAAUAUCCAUUUGUUAUUUAUGUAUUAAUCUACCCCAACCUAACCGUCUUAAUUUUCAUGUAAAAAAUGUGUAAACUAAGAAACUUUAUUUUCUGGGGAUUUCCCCUCAUUUAUUUUUCCGUCUCGUUAAUAAAGAAAUGUCUAAUGUAACAAAUUUCAUUUUCUUGGAAUAUCAUGUCACCUAUUUUUCCUUUUCAUUCAUAAUUCUUUAUUGCAGCUAUUGUAACGUAAAUACAUUUCGAACAAUUAAAAUGUACAAUUAACUUUUUACACUUGCACUAUCAAUGAAAAUUACUACACUGAGCAUUCAGAAUCCCUCAAGGAAAAAUUAUACAGUAUAUGCUGUUGAGAAGAAACUAUACUGUAUGACAAUAACGAGCAGCUCCAUCUAGUUUUCCUCCGCUACCGCAUAUCUAAUGGUAAUACCAUUUCUAUGCAGAGAGUAGCUGCUGUAAUACCGACCUGCCAAAUCGGAGAGGUCACGUGCCGUGUCUACCCCCUUAACGUUCUCGUCGAAGAGGUCGAGCACACCGCGACCGCGUCAAGACUGUCCGAACAUCGUUUCCAAAGUCGCUUUUGUGCGAAUCGUGACGGAAUUUGGGCUAACGUGAACGAAAUCAGCACGUGUUAUCGAAACGUAGUUCUCGUGUCGGUUACCGGUCGUCCCGGUGACCUUAGACGCUACGACAGCUCGGCAGUGUACACCGUAUUUUGUAACAUCUUUCGCGUACAAUAUAUUCUAUAUUAUUUUAAACGAGUGCUGUGUUAAUCCGCCCCGUCUUGCCGUGAAGACGGCUUUCUUAGACUUCCUUUCCUCGCCGAUGAUUCACGCUCCUCUCCGCGAUCCGGAUCGCUAGCCGUGAUAAUUUUCGCGACGUUCGGCUUCUCACGCCGGUAUCUUCUGAUACCUGGCGCUCGGGUUUUCCCGUAAAGGCGUGAGAAGUCGGAAAACUCUCAUUUUGCACAGUUUCCGACGCGGAUCGCGGACCGUGUCGGGAAAUCACGUUGCAAUAUAUAUAUAUAUAUACAUUCACUCUUUUCCGCUCGCAAAGCUUAUACAUAUAAAUUGUUAAUUGGAGGGUGUUAAACAAUGCUUCUACGUCUUCAUUGGUUAAGAUAAUAUAUUUGAAUAAUAUAAUAGAAUGAUCACGUUCUCUCACACCCAUACUGAAUAGAAGACUGUCUCUUCGGACACGCGCUUCCACAUGGAGGGGGAACACACACAUAUAGGUAUACAUUCGUACAAUACAAAUGUACCUACAUUCACACAAUACGCCUCCUUACAUAUGUAUUGUAUCUUUGAAAUAAACGCAUUUUUAUUUAAUAUUCA